This is a non-coding RNA of Picea glauca (white spruce), 121 nucleotides long. Lineage: Eukaryota; Viridiplantae; Streptophyta; Pinopsida; Pinales; Pinaceae. The record is from Rfam.
ACAUGCCUACAACAUAGCGUUAAUGCACUGGAUCCUAUUAGAACUCCGCAGUUAAGCAUGCUCAGGCUAGAUUAGUACUGGGAUGGGUGAUCACCCAGGAAGUUCUAGUGUUUUACAUGCC